AUAAGCGGAGGAAAAGAAACCAACAGGGAUUCCCCUAGUAACGGCGAGUGAAGCGGGAACAGCUCAAAUUUGAAAUCUGGCCCUUGGGUCCGAGUUGUAAUUUGCAGAGGAUGCUUUUGGUGCGGUGCCUUCCGAGUUCCCUGGAACGGGACGCCUUAGAGGGUGAGAGCCCCGUACGGUUGGCCACCAAGCCUGUGUAAAGCUCCUUCGACGAGUCGAGUAGUUUGGGAAUGCUGCUCAAAAUGGGAGGUAUAUUUCUUCUAAAGCUAAAUACUGGCCAGAGACCGAUAGCGCACAAGUAGAGUGAUCGAAAGAUGAAAAGCACUUUGAAAAGAGGGUUAAAUAGCACGUGAAAUUGUUGAAAGGGAAGGAUUUAUGACCAGACUUUUUCUGGGGGGAUCAUCCGGUGUUCUCACCGGUGCACUUCCCCCAGUUGAGGCCAGCAUCGGUUUCUGCCGGGGGAUAAAAGCUUUGGGAAUGUGGCUCCUUCGGGAGUGUUAUAGCCCGUUGCAUAAUACCCUGGCGGGGACCGAGGUUCGCGCAUUGCAAGGAUGCUGGCGUAAUGGUUAUUAAUCACCCGUCUUGAAACACGGACCAAGGAGUCGAACAUUUGUGCGAGUGUUUGGGUGUUAAACCCUCACGCGUAAUGAAAGUGAACGGAGGUGAGAGCCUUUAGGGGUGCAUCAUCGACCGAUCCUGAUGUCUUCGGAUGGAUUUGAGUAAGAGCAUAACUGUUCGGACCCGAAAGAUGGUGAACUAUGCGUGGAUAGGGUGAAGCCAGAGGAAACUCUGGUGGAGGCUCGCAGCGGUUCUGACGUGCAAAUCGAUCGUCAAAUCUGCGCAUGGGGGCGAAAGACUAAUCGAACCAUCUAGUAGCUGGUUACCGCCGA
Molecule: ribosomal RNA, 890 nt
Filed under: Apiospora arundinis
Lineage: Eukaryota; Fungi; Ascomycota; Sordariomycetes; Amphisphaeriales; Apiosporaceae
Description: eukaryotic LSU rRNA
Rfam family: Eukaryotic large subunit ribosomal RNA
Source: RNAcentral